CAGCCCUAAACGAUGCGCGUUAGGUGUAUCGGUGACCACGAGUCACCGAGGUGCCGAAGGGAAACCGUGAAACGUGCCGCCUGGGAAGUACGGUCGCAAGGCUGAACUUAAAGGAAUUGGCGGGGGAGCACCACAACGGGUGGAGCCUGCGGUUUAAUUGGACUCAACGCCGGGAAGCUCACCGGAUAAGACAGCGGAAUGAUUGCCGGGCUGAAGACCCUGCAUGACCAGCUGAGAGGAGGUGCAUGGCGUAGACGUCU
RNAcentral lists this ribosomal RNA (260 nucleotides) under uncultured archaeon. Its description in RNAcentral is "partial 16S ribosomal RNA". It matches the Rfam family "Archaeal small subunit ribosomal RNA", at positions 748 to 1009 of the family's 1478-position model. The record is from RNAcentral.